CAGACACCUGGCUGGCACUCCCAUGUUCUUCUCCCUGGAACCUUCUUCCCGGCCGUCGGCGCCAGGAGGAGGCCCCCCGCCCCCUGAGGUGCAGCCCCCCGGGGCUGGGCUGGAGGUGAAUUCAGAAGGCUUGGCUCCCUUUCACUCCCCGUGUUGGUGUUCCGUUCCCGGCUAGCAGCUCCAGUCCCUUGAGGGCACCUGAAGUGCCAGUGGCUGAUGGCACCGUGGACAACACCUGGCCACAUCCCCGGGACCCACCCUCCCCACAGAGAGACGUGGCACCAGUCUGCCGAGGAACAUCACCUAUGCCUCUGACAUCUGCGAGGAGGGCACCAUCUCCCCUCCCGGAAAACACAGAAUGCAGUUCCCGAUUUCCGGCUUCGACGGGUUGGGCGCCGGCUGAGUUAAGGGAGAAAUGCAAACAUGUGUUUCUCCGAUUUCAAUCUUCGUGGGAACUACGAGGGGAAUUUGAUAAAAUGUGGAUUCUGCUGCAAGAUGGCCAAGUGUGGGGCCUGCGAUUCCUGGAAGAACGCUGCGUGAAAAGGGUCUGUUCUCCAGAACUGGUGUUGUGUGUGACCCUCACAAAGCACCAAGAGCGAACAUGGGAGAAGUUUUAUAAACAUUUUUUCCUCUCUACACAAGACACAAGCCCAGAAAUUAAAAUGGAAAAUCUGAAAAUGUGAUGAAAUACAAAUUUAAAUUUCUCCAGGGCAACAGGACUAUAAACAGGAGACAACAGAAAAAAUUUGCAUAUGUGAAGGGAUUGCUUCCUUUAUUUAAUUCUGAAAGAUCUCUUAACAUAACUAAGACAAAGACCUCAAGGGGAAAAUGGUCCCACGACCCCCCCCCCCAAUCCUUUCUGGCCAGUGGAAGGAGGGCUUAUGUAUGAGCCUUAGCUCAAUCUCACUCAUAAUUAACGAAAUAAGAAAAAAAGAGAAAAGCACUGACAUACUUUUUUUUCUACCUCUCAGUCGAAAUCCUUUGUUUGCUUGUAAUACCUUAACAUAUAAUGUUGACAAGAGUAUAGGAUAAAAGCUGUUCUCAUGUCCUGCUAGUACAGAUGUAAGCUGUCACAAUGUGCUUGAUGGGCAAUUAAAAUAACACAUUUUUCUUGGGGUGCCUGGGUGGCUCCGUUGGUUAAGCAUCCAACUUCGGCUCAGGUCAUGAGUUCGAGCCCCGUUUGGCUCUGUGCUGACAGCUCAGAGCCUGGAGCCUGCUUCAAAUUCUCUCUCUCCCUCUCUCUCUCUGCCCCUCCUCCACUCGUGCGCGCGCGCUCUCUCUCUCUCUCUCUCUCUCUCUCAAAAAUAAAUGAUAAACAUUAAAAUUUAAAAAAAAAUCUUUUCCUAAGUGUUGGUCAAGAAACUAAUACCAGAGCUGCCCCUGGGCAGGAGAGUUUGGGGGAAAUCCAAGAGACAGACACUUUCAAACCGAAAAGAAGGCUCCAGGGACCGCAGGGGCAGAACUGGACAAUCAGAGCUCGUGGUCACUAAUAGCAAGGACUCAGUAAAUGUCGGCUAUUGCUGUUUUUUCCUCUUUAUUUUUUUAUCUUUGUGUGUAAAAAAAUGUUUAUGGUAAUGGGGGACUAAAUUAUUUGUAUUGGCCUUCAUACUGAAAAUGAAUGGAUAAACUAGUUUUAAAAUGUUGUCAGCCUUUGGGGCGCCUGGGUGGCUCAGCCCAUUAAGCAUCCAACUACAGCUCAGGUCAUGAUCUCAGGGUUUGUGAGUUCGGGCCCCGUGUUGGGUUCUGUGCUGACAGUUCAGACCCUGGAGUCUGCUUCAGAUUCUGUGUCCCCCUUUCUCUCUGCCCCUCCCUCCCCAUGUGCAUGCUCUUUCUCUCUCUCUCUC
Long non-coding RNA from Neofelis nebulosa (Clouded leopard), 1844 nucleotides. RefSeq lists it as uncharacterized. The transcript has 2 exons. The record is from RefSeq and is a predicted model, not a curated record. Lineage: Eukaryota; Metazoa; Chordata; Mammalia; Carnivora; Felidae.